CCACCUGCGCAGCCUGUGAGGGCAAGGGACAUAGGAUGACCCCAGCCUGUCCCCUCUUACUAUCUGUGAUUCUGUCCCUGCGCCUGGCCGCCGCCUUCGACCCCGCCCCCAGCGCCUGCUCCGCCCUGGCCUCGGGCGUGCUCUACGGGGCCUUCUCACUGCAGGACCUCUUUCCCACCAUCGCCUCGGGCUGCUCCUGGACCCUGGAGAACCCUGACCCCACCAAGUACUCCCUCUACCUGCGCUUCAACCGCCAGGAGCAGGUGUGCACUCACUUUGCCCCCCGUCUGCUGCCCCUGGACCACUACCUGGUCAACUUUACCUGCCUGCGGCCUAGCCCAGAGGAGGCGGUGGCCGGGGCGGAGGCAGAGGCGGGGUGGCCAGAGGAGGAGGAGGAGGCCGCAGCGGGGCUGGAACUGUGCAGCGGCUCGGGCCCCUUUACCUUCCUGCACUUCGACAAGAACUUCGUGCAGCUGUGCCUGUCGGCAGAGCCCUCGGAGGCCCCGCGCCUGCUGGCGCCUGCCGCCCUGGCCUUCCGCUUCGUUGAGGUCUUGCUCAUCAACAACAACAACUCCAGCCAGUUCACCUGCGGCGUGCUCUGCCGCUGGAGUGAGGAGUGCGGCCGCGCUGCCGGCCGGGCCUGUGGCUUCGCCCAGCCAGGCUGCAGCUGCCCCGGGGAGGCAGGGGCUGGUCCCGCCACCACCACCACGCUUCCAGGCCCUCCGGCUGCCCACACUCUGUCCAAUGCCCUGGUGCCCGGGGGCCCGGCCCCACCCGCUGAGGCCGAUUUGCAUUCAGGGAGCAGCAAUGACCUGUUCACGACCGAGAUGAGAUAUGGUGAGUCUGAGCAGGGCCCUGGUGGGGUUGGCUCCCUCACCACAGCCACCUUCUGCCGGCCCUCCUUCCUGCAGCUUCAAGGCCCCUAG
This is a non-coding RNA of Leptonychotes weddellii (Weddell seal), 926 nucleotides long. The record is from RefSeq and is a predicted model, not a curated record. NCBI's taxonomy places the organism in Eukaryota, Metazoa, Chordata, Mammalia, Carnivora, Phocidae.